RNAcentral lists this ribosomal RNA (433 nucleotides) under uncultured bacterium. RNAcentral describes it as "partial 16S ribosomal RNA". It matches the Rfam family "Bacterial small subunit ribosomal RNA", at positions 29 to 507 of the family's 1533-position model. The record is from RNAcentral.
AACGAACGCUGGCGGCAUGCCUAACACAUGCAAGUCGAACGAGACCUUCGGGUCUAGUGGCGCACGGGUGCGUAACGCGUGGGAACCUGCCCUUAGGUUCGGAAUAACUCCCCGAAAGGGGUGCUAAUACCGGAUAAUGUCUUCGGACCAAAGAUUUAUCGCCUUUGGAUGGGCCCGCGUUGGAUUAGCUAGUUGGUAGGGUAAAAGCCUACCAAGGCGACGAUCCAUAGCUGGUCUGAGAGGAUGAUCAGCCACACUGGGACUGAGACACGGCCCAGACUCCUACGGGAGGCAGCAGUUGGGAAUAUUGAACAAUGGGCGAAAGCCUGAUCCAGCAAUGCCGCGUGAGUGAUGAAGGCCUUAGGAUUGUAAAGCUCUUUUGCCCGGGAUGAUAAUGACAGUACCGGGAGAAUAAGCUCCGGCUAACUCCGUG